UGACGACAUAAACCGGCGCGGUGUUUAGACUUUACUGAUGUCGUGGCGCUCUGAGGCAAAAAGUUGUUUCUCUGAGGAGCCUUAGGACUGAAGCCGAGGUGAUGGAGCACCUCCUGGCGGCUAUGGGAACUAUGGUUAUGCCAAUAGUGGAUAUAAUGCUUGUGAAGAAGAGAAUGACAGACUCACUGAAAGUCUCAGAAGCAAAGUAACAGCUAUAAAAUCUCUUUCCAUUGAGAUAGGCCAUGAAGUCAAAAAUCAAAAUAAACUGUUAGCUGAAAUGGAUUCACAAUUUGAUUCUACAACUGGAUUUCUAGGUAAAACCAUGGGAAGACUGAAGAUUUUGUCCAGAGGGAGCCAAACGAAAUUGCUAUGCUAUAUGAUGCUGUUUUCAUUGUUUGUCUUUUUUGUCAUUUAUUGGAUUAUUAAACUGAGGUGAUGCAAGUUAGUGUGGGCUUUGAAUUUAUUGCAGUUAAUGUCUUGGGGAACCACUUUGAUAACCAGCAUCUCAACAUUCCUAAUGGUCUUCUCCAUUGAAGAUUAGUAGAAUUUUCCUCUUUCAGAAAUCAUACUAUACCAUGUAAUGUUUUGAAUACUGCUCCUUACUGACUGACUCAUUAUGACUCCUAUUUUAAGGGGUAUUUAAUUUUCUUGAAGUCAGUGUGGCUAUACCUAUGUUGUUCCAGUGUUUUCCAGUCAGAGUAAAUAUGACUACCAUACCCUGCUGUUACAUAAAUGUAACUUUUUAAAGCAAGUGGGAGAGCAGAAGAAUGCCAGAGAACUUGGAAUCAGCCUUUGAGGAGUGUUGCAUGCUGGUAGAAAGCUCACUUCUGUUUGUUUGAUGUCAUCUUGUAAUGAAUGGCUCCUUUGCUUAGUACCAUGUAGGGCCGUUUCUUUCCUCCUACAGUUUUCUUAAGUUAAUCACAUGGAUUCUUUGUACUAGGACUUCCUUGAGUAAAGCUAUUGACAUAUUUCUGCUGGAGCCUAAUACACAUGUGUAUUAACAUAGGCAUUGUUUUAUAUUAAUGAUAAAUUCUACUGGCUUGCUUUAUGAUAGUUUCUGAUUUCUAGCUGCUUAUGUGGUCCAUUUGAUUAUUAUUUGUGUCAGAAUAAUGUGACAUUUAUGAUUGCUAAGCUCUGAGCAGAAAAGGAGUGCCCAAGAAAAUUAAUUGCCUUUGUUUUACUGUAUGCUCAAAUAAGUAUUGAAAAUAUUCAGGCUUUGAACCCAGAGUUCAUAGGAUUGUUAUUUAGCUCCAUUUUAUUUACUUACAGAAAUCAAAACACAAGGUGGUUUUAAGUAAAAAAGCAAAAAGUACUAAAAUAUUGUAAAACAUUCUGUGUUGCUCUUACUUUAGAAAUUUGCCUAUUUCUAGGUUCAAAAAUAAACUUUACUAAAAUA
Molecule: long non-coding RNA, 1396 nt
Filed under: Rattus norvegicus (Norway rat)
Lineage: Eukaryota; Metazoa; Chordata; Mammalia; Rodentia; Muridae
Description: long non-coding RNA NONRATT021214
Source: RNAcentral